RNAcentral lists this long non-coding RNA (534 nucleotides) under Sorghum bicolor (sorghum). RNAcentral describes it as "long non-coding RNA (SBIC_LNC004376)". Lineage: Eukaryota; Viridiplantae; Streptophyta; Magnoliopsida; Poales; Poaceae. The record is from RNAcentral.
AGUGAGAUGUAGGGGAAGCGCUAUGCUAAUAUAGGGUUCAGUUAGGCUUGACUACUACAAUAUUUUUUAUUGCGAUACCAAGGCAGGUUUUUCAAUGCCUCAGAUGAAAGGUCAUAGUUAAUAUGACCUUUUCCGAGGCAAUUUGUUGCCCACCUCAGUAAAUGAAAUAAAAAAAUAAAAGAAAAAGAAAAAGCCAACCAAGCCUAUCAUGGGCCCACCGAUCCCAUCCACGCCCUCGCCACCGCUGCCGCUUGCUGGAUCUAACCGCCCCGUGCUACGGUAGGAAGGAGAGGGGGAGCGUAGUGCUAAGGGAUGAAGGAAAGGAGGGUGACAUGCUGAGGGAGGGGCACCACUGCCGAAGGGGACCGUGUGCGGGAGGGGCAACUCACGGGGAGUAGAUCUGCCAUGACACCAAAAUCCGCCACCACACCACCUUGGAUUUGGCUGCACUACGCCUUGGAUGUGGCUGGAGAAGACCGUUGCGCCACCAACGAGGCUUCCCCAUGCACCUUGUCGUGUCCUGUCCACCACUGG